UACGGAGGGAGCUAGCGUUAUUCGGAAUUACUGGGCGUAAAGCGCACGUAGGCGGCUUUGUAAGUUAGAGGUGAAAGCCUGGAGCUCAACUCCAGAACUGCCUUUGAUACUGAGAAGCUUGAGUCCGGGAGAGGUGAGUGGAACUGCGAGUGUAGAGGUGAAAUUCGUAGAUAUUCGCAAGAACACCAGUGGCGAAGGCGGCUCACUGGCCCGGUACUGACGCUGAGGUGCGAAAGCGUGGGGAGCAAACAGGAU
RNAcentral lists this ribosomal RNA (255 nucleotides) under uncultured bacterium. RNAcentral describes it as "partial 16S ribosomal RNA". It matches the Rfam family "Bacterial small subunit ribosomal RNA", at positions 524 to 778 of the family's 1533-position model. The record is from RNAcentral.